GACGAACGCUGGCGGCGUGCCUAAUACAUGCAAGUUGAGCGCUGAAGGUUGGUACUUGUACCAACUGGAUGAGCAGCGAACGGGUGAGUAACGCGUGGGGAAUCUGCCUUUGAGCGGGGGACAACAUUUGGAAACGAAUGCUAAUACCGCAUAAAAACUUUAAACACAAGUUUUAAGUUUGAAAGAUGCAAUUGCAUCACUCAAAGAUGAUCCCGCGUUGUAUUAGCUAGUUGGUGAGGUAAAGGCUCACCAAGGCGAUGAUACAUAGCCGACCUGAGAGGGUGAUCGGCCACAUUGGGACUGAGACACGGCCCAAACUCCUACGGGAGGCAGCAAUAGGGAAUCUUCGGCAAUAGACGAAAGUCUGACCGAGCAACGCCGCGGGAGUGAAGAAGGUUUUCGGAUCGUAAAACUCUGUUGGUAGAGAAGAACGUUGGUGAGAGUGGAAAGCUCAUAAAGUGACGGUAACUACCCAGAAAGGGACGGCUAACUACGUG
RNAcentral lists this ribosomal RNA (497 nucleotides) under uncultured bacterium. Its description in RNAcentral is "partial 16S ribosomal RNA". It matches the Rfam family "Bacterial small subunit ribosomal RNA", at positions 28 to 507 of the family's 1533-position model. The record is from RNAcentral.